RNAcentral lists this ribosomal RNA (306 nucleotides) under uncultured Planctomycetota bacterium. Its description in RNAcentral is "bacterial SSU rRNA". It matches the Rfam family "Bacterial small subunit ribosomal RNA", at positions 29 to 351 of the family's 1533-position model. The record is from RNAcentral. Lineage: Bacteria; Pseudomonadati; Planctomycetota.
AAUGAACGUUGGCGGCGUGGAUUAGGCAUGCAAGUCGCGCGAUAAAUGUAGCAAUACAUGGAAAGCGGCGAAAGGGACAGUAACGUGUGGGAACCUACCUUGGGGUCUGGGAUAGCGGCGGGAAACUGCCGGUAAUACCAGAUGACAUCCCCGGAUCAAAGGUGUGAUUCCGCCCUGAGAUGGGCCCACAUGCUAUUAGUUAGUUGGCGGGGUAAUGGCCCACCAAGACUAAGAUGGCUAGCGGGUGUGAGAGCACGACCCGCGUCACUGGGACUGAGACACUGCCCAGACACCUACGGGAGGCUG